This 1527-nucleotide unclassified non-coding RNA is filed under the name uncultured fungus. RNAcentral's name for it is "sequence contains 18S rRNA gene, ITS1, 5.8S rRNA gene, ITS2, 28S rRNA gene". The stretch from base 447 to 1527 matches the Rfam family "Eukaryotic large subunit ribosomal RNA", at positions 1 to 961 of the family's 3401-position model. The record is from RNAcentral. Lineage: Eukaryota; Fungi.
GGAAGGAUCAUUAACGUAUGUAUAUGUAAGUAAGAGUGAGGUAGUGGGGGCUGUCUAAGCCUCUAUGAAAGAAUAUAAACAUUGAGUAGAAUAAUUUAUAAAUGAGGAUAACUUUUAACAAUGGAUCUCUAGGCUCUCGCAACGAUGAAGAACGUAGUGAAGUGCGAUAACUGGUGUGAAUUGCAUUACUUUGUGAAUCAUUGAGUCUUUGAACGCAAAUUGCACUGUAAGUAAAAUUACAGUAUACCUGUUUGAGUAUUGUGUAAUCACCCAUUCAAUUGGACAUGAGCUAUGUAUGGUAAGUACUUGCUUUAAAUGUAGUAUGUUGGUAGUGCGGAGGUAUACCCCUUUGUAACAUGAGUUUUGUGCGUAAAAGUAUACAUAUCUUGUUUAUAAGUGGUGGUACGCCGUGCGAAGGCAUGAUGGUUUACAACAUUUUAUUCAUUCAAUCUCAAAUCAGGUAAGAGUACCCACUGAACUUAAGCAUAUCAGUAAGUGGAGGAAAAGAAACUAACUAGGAUUCCCUUAGUAACGGCGAGUGAAGCGGGAAGAGCUCGAAUUUGUAAUCCCCCUAUGUAGUAGGGUGAAUUGUAAUUGAUAGAAGCACUCUCGGGGCGCUGACCAUUGCACAAGUCCUUUGGAAUAAGGCAUCAUAGAGGGUGAGAAUCCCGUGCUUGGCAUUGCGUUGGUCCCCACAUGAGGUGUAUUCAACGAGUCGGGUUGUUUGGGACUGCAGCCCUAAAUGGGUGGUAUACUCCAUCUAAAGCUAAAUAAUGGCGAGAGACCGAUAGCGAACAAGUACCGUGAGGGAAAGAUGAAAAGAACUUUGAAAAGAGAGUUAAAAGUAUGUGAAAUUGUUAAAAGGGAAGCGAUAGACAUCAGUGCAAUGCCAGUCGACCCGUGGUGGAUGCGUGCGUUUGCUGAGCGGUUAAAGGCCAGCGGCGUGCGAGUCCCCUAGUGUCGGCGGCAUGGUCAGCAUCAGUUUGUGGUGCGGGAUAGCAGGUGGGGAAGGUGCAUGCUGGCAACGGCAUGUUUAUAGCCCCACUGAGAGCCGUGCCGUGGACUGAGGAAAGCAGUGGGCCCUUGGGGCGUGCCUCCCGAAUGAGAGGGUGUGGUGCAGCGACUGCAGCAAUGCAUACGAUGUGCCGCGCCGCUUCUUUGGUGGCAGGCCACCAGCCUACUAAGGAUGCUGACGAAAUGGUGCCUACCGACCCGUCUUGAAACACGGACCAAGGAGUCUAACAUGCGUGCGAGUAAAUGGGUGUCAAACCCACUUGCGUAAUGAAAGUGAAGGGUGGGACCGCUGCUGAAAGGCGGCGUGCACCACCUACCGAUCAGGAUAUUUAUUGAUAGAUUUGAGUAAGAGCAUGUAUGCUGGGACCCGAAAGAUGGUGAACUAUGCCUGAGUAGGAUGAAGCCAGAGGAAACUCUGGUGGAGGUCCGUAGCGGUUCUGACGUGCAAAUCGAUCGUCAAACUUGGGUAUAGGGGCGAAAGACUAAUCGAACCAUCUAGUAGCUGGUUCCCUC